RNAcentral lists this ribosomal RNA (1398 nucleotides) under uncultured fungus. RNAcentral's name for it is "eukaryotic LSU rRNA". The stretch from base 766 to 1398 matches the Rfam family "Eukaryotic large subunit ribosomal RNA", at positions 1 to 649 of the family's 3401-position model. Lineage: Eukaryota; Fungi. The record is from RNAcentral.
AAGUCGUAAUAAGGUUUUAUAAUAAUCCUUUAAAGCCUUUCACACAACGACUCUAAUAACAUCGUGUGCAGUUCCGUCUAGUAUGGGCUAUGUCACUAAAGUGCUGGAAUACACCCGUAGAUCAGCAGUUAAACAGGGCGAAACCCCCCGUUUGGUUCAUAGAUUAGUCAGUGAUGGUCGGCGAGAGAUCUAUGUGUCCUCGUUGAUUAAGAUAUAAUCGGUCUCUAUGUCAGUUAUGGAGAGGCGAUGUUUCGUAGGUGAACCUGCGGAAGGAUCAUUAUUGAGUUAGGGUCCUCUGGGCUCUAUCUUUAACUCUUGUCUAUCUCAUCACGUUGCUUUGGCGGGCCCGUCUUUGACCGGACCGUUGGGGGGUGUAUCCCCUGAUCAGCGCCCGUUGGUAGCCCCUAAAAAAUCGUCGAAUGGUGUUGUCUAAGUCUUAAAAGAAAUAAUUAAAACUUUCAACAACGGAUCUCUUGGUUCUGGCAUCGAUGAAGAACGCAGCGAAAUGCGAUAAGUAAUGCGAAUUGUAGAAUUCCGUGAGUCAUUGAAUCUUUGAACGCACAUUGCGCCCUUUGGUAUUUUGAAGGGUAUGCCUGUCCGAGCGUCAUUAUUUAUUCUUAAGCCCGGUUUACGGUUGGGUCCCGCCGUGGGUCAUCACGCGGACCCGAAAGGUAAUAACGGUGCCCGUGGGCCCUGGAUGCAACGAGCUUUUUAGCACGUAUCUGCGCGGUCUUGGGCGCCGUUCCACUCAAUCAUCUCGCAGAUUGACCUUGGAUCAGAUAGGGAUACCCGCUGAACUUAAGCAUAUCAAUAAGCGGAGGAAAAGAAAUCAACAGGGAUUGCCUUAGUAACGGCGAGUGAAGCGGUAACAGCUUAAAUUUGAAAUCUGGCUCCUCCGGGGCUUGAGUUGUAAUUUGUAGAGGAUGCUUCGGGCAAGGCUGCGGUCUAAUUCGCUUGGAACAGCGAGUCGUAGAGGGUGAGAAUCCCGUCUGGGACCGCGAGCCGCGCCCGUGUGAAGCUUCUUCGACGAGUUGAGUUGUUUGGGAAUGCAGCUCUAAAUGGGUGGUAAAUUUCAUCUAAAGCUAAAUAUGGGCCAGAGACCGAUAGCGCAUAAGUAGAGUGAUCGAAAGAUGAAAAGCACUUUGAAAAGAGAGUUAAACAGUAUGUGAAAUUGUUGAAAGGGAAGCGUUUGCAAUUAGAUUUGCGCAUGGCGGUUUUCCCGGCCUUCUGGCCGGAUUACUCCGUUAUGUUUAGGCUAAUAUCGGUUCGGGCGGCCGGUGAAAGACCCCGGGAAUGUAUCUAUCUUUGGGUCGACUUAUAGCCCGGGGUGCAAUGCGGCCCGCCCGGACCGAGGGACGCGCUUCGGCUUGGAUGUUGGCGUAAUGGUUGUAAGCGGUC